AGAACGAACGUUGGCGGCGUGGAUUAGGCAUGCAAGUCGCGGGAAUCCCAGCAAUGGGGGAACCGGCGUAAGGGGCAGUAAGGCAUGGAUCACCUACCCUGUGGUUCGGGAUAGCCCAUCGAGAGAUGGGGUAAUACCGGAUGAUGUCGAGAGACCAAAGCUCCGGCGCCGCGGGAGGGGUCCAUGUGGUAUUAGCUAGUUGGUGGGGUAACGGCCCACCAAGGCGUAGAUGCCUAGCGGGUGUGAGAGCACGACCCGCGCCACUGGCACUGAGACACUGGCCAGACACCUACGGGUGGCUGCAGUCGAGGAUCUUCGGCAAUGAGCGCAAGCUUGACCGAGCGACGCCGCGUGUGCGAUUGAAGGCCUUCGGGUUGUAAAGCACUGUCGAGGGGGAGAAAAGCCCGCAAGGGUGUGAUCUAUCCCUGGAGGAAGCACGGGCUAAGUUCGUGCCAGCAGCCGCGGUAAGACGAACCGUGCGAACGUUGUUCGGAAUCACUGGGCUUAAAGGGCGCGUAGGCGGGCUGCCGCGUCCGGGGUGAAAUCCCACGGCUCAACCGUGGAACGGCCUCGGAUACGGGCGGUCUCGAGGGAGGUAGGGGCACGCGGAACUGUGGGUGGAGCGGUGAAAUGCGUUGAUAUCCACAGGAACUCCGGUGGCGAAGGCGGCGUGCUGGACCUCAUCUGACGCUGAGGCGCGAAAGCCAGGGGAGCAAACGGGAUUAGAUACCCCGGUAGUCCUGGCCCUAAACGUUGGGUACUAGGUAGUAGACCAGACAUGGGUUUACUGCCGGAGCAAAAGUGCUAAGUACCCCGCCUGGGGAGUAUGGUCGCAAGGCUG
This 841-nucleotide ribosomal RNA is filed under the name uncultured bacterium. RNAcentral's name for it is "bacterial SSU rRNA". It matches the Rfam family "Bacterial small subunit ribosomal RNA", at positions 26 to 896 of the family's 1533-position model. The record is from RNAcentral.